RNAcentral lists this ribosomal RNA (336 nucleotides) under Triticum aestivum (bread wheat). RNAcentral describes it as "partial small subunit ribosomal RNA". The record is from RNAcentral. Lineage: Eukaryota; Viridiplantae; Streptophyta; Magnoliopsida; Poales; Poaceae.
AAACAUGAUAGUGCUCACAAUAAAGCUAGGCAACAAUAUGCGGCUUUCAAAAAUCAAAGGCAAUCUAUUGUAAAUGUGAUGGAUCGUGGCACCAUAAAGACCCAAGAAGAAUAUAGAGCUCGUCUUAUCAUUAUUUUGGGUGUUAUAAGAUUUCUUCUAUUACAAGCUCUUGCUUUUCGUGGCCAUGACGAGAGCUCCAGCUCGAAGAAUAGGUUUUUUUUGGAGAUGAUGAGUUGGUACAAGGAGAAGGAUCUGAAUGCUAAGACUUUGCUUGAUAGUGCGGGCGGGAACCAUUUGAUGACUUCACAUGGGAUACAAUUGCAGCUGUGUCAAGCU